This 499-nucleotide unclassified non-coding RNA is filed under the name uncultured Paraglomus. Its description in RNAcentral is "SSU rRNA". It matches the Rfam family "Eukaryotic small subunit ribosomal RNA", at positions 591 to 1092 of the family's 1831-position model. The record is from RNAcentral. Lineage: Eukaryota; Fungi; Glomeromycota; Glomeromycetes; Paraglomerales; Paraglomeraceae.
CCAAUAGCGUAUAUUAAAGUUGUUGUGGUUAAAAAGCUCGUAGUUGAACCUUGGGCCUGGCUGGCCGGUCCGCCUCACCGCGUGUACUGGUCCGGCCGGGCCUUUCCCUCUGUGGAACCUCAUGCCCUUCACUGGGUGUGACGGGGAAGCAGGACUUUUACUGUGAAAAAAUUAGAGUGCUCCAAGCAGGCCUAUGCUCGAAUACAUUAGCAUGGAAUAAUAAAAUAGGACGUGCGGUUCUAUUUUGUUGGUUUCUAGGACCGCCGUAAUGAUUAAUAGGGACAGUCGGGGGCAUCAGUAUUCAAUUGUCAGAGGUGAAAUUCUUGGAUUUAUUGAAGACUAACUACUGCGAAAGCAUUUGCCAAGGAUGUUUUCAUUAAUCAAGAACGAAAGUUAGGGGAUCGAAGACGAUCAGAUACCGUCGUAGUCUUAACCAUAAACUAUGCCGACUAGGGAUCGGAUGAUGUUAAUUUUUUAAUGACUCAUUCGGCGCCUUACG